RNAcentral lists this microRNA (21 nucleotides) under Schistosoma japonicum. RNAcentral's name for it is "miRNA-3006". The record is from RNAcentral. Lineage: Eukaryota; Metazoa; Platyhelminthes; Trematoda; Strigeidida; Schistosomatidae.
AAGGUGUUUCCCUCGGACAAA